This 72-nucleotide transfer RNA is filed under the name Marchantia polymorpha subsp. ruderalis. It matches the Rfam family "tRNA". Rfam says of the family: Transfer RNA (tRNA) molecules are approximately 80 nucleotides in length. Their secondary structure includes four short double-helical elements and three loops (D, anti-codon, and T loops). The record is from Rfam by way of RNAcentral. Lineage: Eukaryota; Viridiplantae; Streptophyta; Marchantiopsida; Marchantiales; Marchantiaceae.
GCCUCUAUAGCACAGUGGUAGUGCGUUCCCUUCGUAAGGGAAAGGUCGUGAGUUCAAUCCUCACUGGAGGCA